This 223-nucleotide long non-coding RNA is filed under the name Arabidopsis thaliana (thale cress). RNAcentral's name for it is "long non-coding RNA (ATHA_LNC000480)". Lineage: Eukaryota; Viridiplantae; Streptophyta; Magnoliopsida; Brassicales; Brassicaceae. The record is from RNAcentral.
CUCACACCCAAAUCCUUCUUACCUCAUUCAUUUUUUUUGGCAGCAGCGACAGAAUCACACAAGUCUAGCUUUCUCAAGGUUUCCAUGGUGCUGGUGGAGGUGGUGGAGUAGGGAACAAAGGAGGAACAGCUGAGAAAAUAGUGUUUUUGUCUAUCUUACCGGUGGCUUCUUCUUCACCCGAUAAUGCCACAAGAGCUGCGACUAGACCAGCAUUGCCUGCAAG